RNAcentral lists this unclassified non-coding RNA (157 nucleotides) under soil metagenome. RNAcentral's name for it is "partial internal transcribed spacer 1". The record is from RNAcentral.
CCGAGUUUACAACUCCCAAACCCAUGUGAACAUACCUACUGUUGCUUCGGCGGGAUUGCCCCGGGCGCCUCGUGUGCCCCGGAUCAGGCGCCCGCCUAGGAAACUUAACUCUUGUUUUUAUUUUGGAAUCUUCUGAGUAGUUUUUACAAAUAAAUAA